RNAcentral lists this ribosomal RNA (557 nucleotides) under Campylobacter felis. RNAcentral describes it as "partial 23S ribosomal RNA". It matches the Rfam family "Bacterial large subunit ribosomal RNA", at positions 1 to 580 of the family's 2925-position model. Lineage: Bacteria; Pseudomonadati; Campylobacterota; Epsilonproteobacteria; Campylobacterales; Campylobacteraceae. The record is from RNAcentral.
AGGUAAGCUACUAAGAGCGAAUGGUGGAUGCCUUGACUGGUAGAGGCGAUGAAGGACGUACUAGACUGCGAUAAGCUAGGUGGAGCUGUCAAGAAGCUUUGAUGCCUAGAUUUCCGAAUGGGGCAACCCAAGAUAUAGAGAUAUAUCUUACCGAUACGGAGCGAACGAGGGGAAUUGAAACAUCUUAGUACCCUCAGGAAAAGAAAUCAAAAGAGAUUGCGUCAGUAGCGGCGAGCGAAAGUGCAAGAGGGCAAACCCAGUGCUUGCACUGGGGGUUGUAGGACUGCAAUGUGCAAGGGCGAAGGUUAGCAGAACACUCUGGAAAGUGUAGCCAUAGAGGGUGAUAGUCCCGUAUGCGAAAGCCUAAGCCUAGCUAGCAGUAUCCUGAGUAGGGCGGGACACGCGAAAUCCUGUCUGAAGCUGGGUAGACCACUAUCCAACCCUAAAUACUACUACCAGAUCGAUAGCGAACAAGUACCGUGAGGGAAAGGUGAAAAGAACGGCGGUGAGCCGAGUGAAAUAGAACCUGAAACCAUUUGCUUACAAUCAUUCAGAGC